RNAcentral lists this transfer RNA (73 nucleotides) under Planctomycetales bacterium. Its description in RNAcentral is "tRNA-Gly". It matches the Rfam family "tRNA". From Rfam's summary of the family: Transfer RNA (tRNA) molecules are approximately 80 nucleotides in length. Their secondary structure includes four short double-helical elements and three loops (D, anti-codon, and T loops). The record is from RNAcentral. Lineage: Bacteria; Pseudomonadati; Planctomycetota; Planctomycetia; Planctomycetales.
GCGGGCGUAACUCAGUUGGUAGAGUGCUAGCUUCCCAAGCUGGAUGUCGCCGGUUCGAGCCCGGUCGCCCGCU